CUUGCGUGGGGGAACCUGACCGCCUGCCGCGUGAGUGAUGAAGGCCUUCGGGUUGUAAAGCUCUUUUGUGUGGGAAGAUAAUGACUGUACCACAAGAAUAAGCCCCGGCUAACUUCGUGCCAGCAGCCGCGGUAAUACGAAGGGGGCUAGCGUUGUUCGGAAUUACUGGGCGUAAAGGGUGCGUAGGUGGUUAUGUAAGUCAGAAGUGAAAGCCCUGGGCUCAACCCGGGAAUUGCUUUUGAAACUAUGUAGCUAGAGUUCGAGAGAGGUAAGUGGAAUAUCCAGUGUAGAGGUAAAAUUCGUAGAUAUUGGAUGGAACACCAGUGGCGAAGGCGGCUUACUGGCUCGAUACUGACACUGAGGCACGAAA
RNAcentral lists this ribosomal RNA (370 nucleotides) under uncultured bacterium. RNAcentral's name for it is "bacterial SSU rRNA". It matches the Rfam family "Bacterial small subunit ribosomal RNA", at positions 361 to 758 of the family's 1533-position model. The record is from RNAcentral.